GGAUGCCUUGGCAGUUAGAGGCGAUGAAGGACGUGUAAGUCUGCGAAAAGCUGUGGUGAGCCGACAAAAUGCAUUUGAACCACAGAUGUCCGAAUGGGGAAACCCACCUAUUUAUAGGUAUCGUUACAUGAAUAUAUAGUGUAACGAGGCGAACGAGGGGAACUGAAACAUCUAAGUACCCUUAGGAAAAGAAAUCAACCGAGAUUCCCCUAGUAGCGGCGAGCGAACGGGGAUUAGCCCUUAAGCAAUUAUGAACGUAGUGGAAGCCUCUGGGAAGUGGCGCGAUACAAGGUGAUAGCCCUGUACACGAAGUGUUUGUUUUUGUGAAAUCGAGUAGGUCGGGACACGUGUUAUCUUGACUGAAUAUGGGGGGACCAUCCUCCAAGGCUAAAUACUCCUAACUGACCGAUAGUGAACCAGUACCGUGAGGGAAAGGCGAAAAGAACCCCUGUGAGGGGAGUGAAAUAGAUCCUGAAACCGUAUGCGUACAAGCAGUCGGAGCGGACUUGUUCCGUGACGGCGUACCUUUUGUAUAAUGGGUCAGCGACUUAUGUUCAGUGGCGAGGUUAACCGUUUAGGGGAGCCGUAGGGAAACCGAGUCUGAAUAGGGCGAUUUAGUCGCUGGGCAUAGACCCGAAACCGGGCGAUCUAUCCAUGAGCAGGUUGAAGGUUGAGUAACAUCAACUGGAGGACCGAACCCACUAACGUUGAAAAGUUAGGGGAUGACUUGUGGCUGGGGGUGAAAGGCCAAUCAAACCGGGAGAUAGCUGGUUCUCCCCGAAAUCUAUUUAGGUAGAGCCUCGGACGAAUUCCAUUGGGGGUAGAGCACUGUUAAGGCUAGGGGGUCAUCCCGACUUACCAACCCUUUGCAAACUCCGAAUACCAAUGAGAACUAUCCGGGAGACACACGGCGGGUGCUAACGUCCGUCGUGAAGAGGGAAACAACCCAGACCGCCAGCUAAGGUCCCAAAAUAUUGCUAAGUGGGAAACGAUGUGGGAAGGCUCAGACAGCUAGGAGGUUGGCUUAGAAGCAGCCACCCUUUAAAGAAAGCGUAAUAGCUCACUAGUCGAGUCGGCCUGCGCGGAAGAUGUAACGGGGCUAAGCAAUAUACCGAAGCUGCGGAUACGUGUUUACACGUAUGGUAGGGGAGCGUUGUGUAAGUGGAUGAAGGUGGAUUGAGAAGUCUGCUGGACAUAUCACAAGUGCGAAUGCUGACAUGAGUAACGAUAAUGGGAGUGAAAAACUCCCACGCCGGAAGACCAAGGUUUCCUGUCCCAUGCUAAUCAGGGCAGGGUAAGUCGGCCCCUAAGGCGAGGCAGAAAUGCGUAGUCGAUGGGAAACGGAUUAAUAUUUCCGUACUUAUAUAAUCAGUGAUGGAGGGACGGAGAAGGCUAAGCAAGCUUGGCGUUGGUUGUCCAAGUGAAAGCAAGUAGGCCGAGAAUUUAGGUAAAUCCGGAUUCUUAAAGCUGAGAUGCGAGACGAGCCACUACGGUGGUGAAGUUGUUGAUGCCCUGCUUCCAGGAAAAGCUUCUAAACUUAUGAUUAUAUGAACCGUACCCCAAACCGACACAGGUGGUCAGGUAGAGAAUACUAAGGCGCUUGAGAGAACUCGGGUGAAGGAACUCGGCAAAAUUGUACCGUAACUUCGGGAGAAGGUACGCCCUUGUUUGUGAUAGGACUUGCUCCUUGAGCAGAUGAGGGCCGCAGUGACCAGGUGGCUGGGACUGUUUAUUAAAAACACAGCACUCUGCUAACUCGCAAGAGGACGUAUAGGGUGUGACACCUGCCCGGUGCCGGAAGGUUAAUUGAUGGGGUUAUCUUCGGAGAAGCUCUUGAUCGAAGCCCCGGUAAACGGCGGCCGUAACAAUAACGGUCCUAAGGUAGCGAAA
Molecule: ribosomal RNA, 1890 nt
Filed under: uncultured eukaryote
Lineage: Eukaryota
Description: partial Bacterial large subunit ribosomal RNA
Rfam family: Bacterial large subunit ribosomal RNA
Source: RNAcentral